GAUGAACGCUGGCGGCGCGCCUAAUACAUGCAAGUCGAGCGAACAGAUAAGGAGCUUGCUCCUUUGACGUUAGCGGCGGACGGGUGAGUAACACGUGGAUAACCUACCUAUAAGGCUGGGAUAACUUCGGGAAACCGGAGCUAAUACCGGAUAACAUAUUGAACCGCAUGGUUCAAUAGUGAAAGGCGGCUUUGCUGUCACUUAUAGAUGGAUCCGCGCCGUAUUAGCUAGUUGGUAAGGUAACGGCUUACCAAGGCAACGAUACGUAGCCGACCUGAGAGGGUGAUCGGCCACACUGGAACUGAGACACGGUCCAGACUCCUACGGGAGGCAGCAGUAGGGAAUCUUCCGCAAUGGGCGAAAGCCUGACGGAGCAACGCCGCGUGAGUGAUGAAGGUCUUCGGAUCGUAAAACUCUGUUAUCAGGGAAGAACAAAUGUGUAAGUAACUGUGCACAUCUUGACGGUACCUGAUCAGAAAGCCACGGCUAACUACGUG
This 497-nucleotide ribosomal RNA is filed under the name uncultured bacterium. Its description in RNAcentral is "partial 16S ribosomal RNA". It matches the Rfam family "Bacterial small subunit ribosomal RNA", at positions 28 to 507 of the family's 1533-position model. The record is from RNAcentral.